GAAAUGCGAUAAGUAAUGUGAAUUGCAGAAUUCAGUGAAUCAUCGAAUCUUUGAACGCACCUUGCGCUCCUUGGUAUUCCUUGGAGCAUGCCUGUUUGAGUAUCAUGAAAUCUUCAAAGUAAAUCUUUUGUUAACUCAAUUGGUUUCUACUUUGGUAUUGGAGGUCUUUGCAGCUUCACACCUGCUCCUCUUUGUUCAUAAGCUGGAUCUCAGUGUUAUGCUUGGUUCCACUCGGCGUGAUAAGUUAUCUAUCGCUGAGGACACUGUAAAAGGUGGCCAAGGUAAAUGCAGAUGAACCGCUUCUAAUAGUCCAUUGACUUGGACAAUACUUUUAUGAUCUGAUCUCAAAUCAGGUAGGACUACCCGCUGAACUUAAGC
RNAcentral lists this unclassified non-coding RNA (378 nucleotides) under plant metagenome. Its description in RNAcentral is "partial contains 5.8S ribosomal RNA, internal transcribed spacer 2, and large subunit ribosomal RNA". The stretch from base 1 to 105 matches the Rfam family "5.8S ribosomal RNA", at positions 50 to 154 of the family's 154-position model. The record is from RNAcentral.